RNAcentral lists this ribosomal RNA (441 nucleotides) under uncultured bacterium. RNAcentral's name for it is "partial 16S ribosomal RNA". It matches the Rfam family "Bacterial small subunit ribosomal RNA", at positions 338 to 795 of the family's 1533-position model. The record is from RNAcentral.
CCUACGGGAGGCAGCAGUGGGGGAUAUUGCACAAUGGGGGGAACCCUGAUGCAGCGACGCCGCGUGGGUGAAGGAGUGCUUCGGCAUGUAAAGCCCUAUCGGCAGGGAAGAAGCAAGACGGUACCUGACUAAGAAGCCCCGGCUAACUACGUGCCAGCAGCCGCGGUAAUACGUAGGGGGCGAGCGUUAUCCGGAUGCACUGGGUGUAAAGGGAGCGUAGACGGCCAAGCAAGCCAGGGGUGAAAGCCCGGGGCCCAACCCCGGGACUGCCCUUGGAACUGCAUGGCUGGAGUGCGGGAGGGGCAGGCGGAAUUCCUGGUGUAGCGGUGGAAUGCGUAGAUAGCAGGAGGAACACCGGCGGCGAAGGCGGCCUGCUGGACCGCGACUGACGUUGAGGCUCGAAAGCGUGGGGAGCGAACAGGAUUGGAUACCCGUGUAGUC